RNAcentral lists this non-coding RNA (30 nucleotides) under Mus musculus (house mouse). The record is from RNAcentral. Lineage: Eukaryota; Metazoa; Chordata; Mammalia; Rodentia; Muridae.
UGUGAGUACAAGGUCUUCCUGAUCUACAUA